RNAcentral lists this transfer RNA (72 nucleotides) under Camelus bactrianus (Bactrian camel). It matches the Rfam family "tRNA". Rfam says of the family: Transfer RNA (tRNA) molecules are approximately 80 nucleotides in length. Their secondary structure includes four short double-helical elements and three loops (D, anti-codon, and T loops). RNAcentral also lists the same sequence under 3 other names. The record is from Rfam by way of RNAcentral. Lineage: Eukaryota; Metazoa; Chordata; Mammalia; Artiodactyla; Camelidae.
GAGGGUACAGCUCAGUGGUAAAGCACUUGCCUACCAUGCAUGAGGUCCUGGGUUCAAUCCCUAGUACGUCCA